AUGGUUGCAAUCUGCCAAGAGCUGAUAAGGAAAGAAUCCUGUGGGGACAAUGACAAAAAACUUAAAUCCAUCAAACCCAUGUCAGCACUAGGCAAGAAAACAAAUAGAAUUCCAGACAGUUCAGAACAAAUACUACAAAUCAGAGACCAUACUCCAACCUCCUUUCAAUCUUACACUUUUGAAAGACAACUUAGAAGUACAAAGGACGGUGACUCCAUAGCAGUGCUUACCAUCAGGCUAACAUUACCCAUUACUGAGAUCCCACCUAGAAUAUCAUAUUAUAUUUAG
Callithrix jacchus (white-tufted-ear marmoset) is the source of this 288-nucleotide long non-coding RNA. The record is from Ensembl. NCBI's taxonomy places the organism in Eukaryota, Metazoa, Chordata, Mammalia, Primates, Cebidae.